CAAAUACUGCCUCCGUCCAGAAAUACUUGUCAUAGAAAUGGAUGUAUCUGGAUGUAUUUUAGUUCUAGAUACAUCCAUUUUUACUAAUUUGUGCAACAAGUAAUUCUGAACGGAGGUAAUACUAU
Hordeum vulgare subsp. vulgare (domesticated barley) is the source of this 125-nucleotide non-coding RNA. Lineage: Eukaryota; Viridiplantae; Streptophyta; Magnoliopsida; Poales; Poaceae. The record is from Rfam.